GAUGAACGCUGGCGGCGUGCCUAAUACAUGCAAGUCGAGCGAACAGACGAGGAGCUUGCUCCUCUGACGUCAGCGGCGGACGGGUGAGUAACACGUGGAUAACCUACCUAUAAGACUGGGAUAACUUCGGGAAACCGGAGCUAAUACCGGAUAAUAUAUUGAACCGCAUGGUUCAAUAGUGAAAGACGGUUUUGCUGUCACUUAUAGAUGGAUCCGCGCCGCAUUAGCUAGUUGGUAAGGUAACGGCUUACCAAGGCAACGAUGCGUAGCCGACCUGAGAGGGUGAUCGGCCACACUGGAACUGAGACACGGUCCAGACUCCUACGGGAGGCAGCAGUAGGGAAUCUUCCGCAAUGGGCGAAAGCUUGACGGAGCAACGCCGCGUGAGUGAUGAAGGUCUUCGGAUCGUAAAACUCUGUUAUUAGGGAAGAACAAAUGUGUAAGUAACUAUGCACGUCUUGACGGUACCUAAUCAGAAAGCCACGGCUAACUACGUGC
This 498-nucleotide ribosomal RNA is filed under the name uncultured bacterium. RNAcentral describes it as "partial 16S ribosomal RNA". It matches the Rfam family "Bacterial small subunit ribosomal RNA", at positions 28 to 508 of the family's 1533-position model. The record is from RNAcentral.